This 468-nucleotide ribosomal RNA is filed under the name uncultured bacterium. RNAcentral describes it as "partial 16S ribosomal RNA". It matches the Rfam family "Bacterial small subunit ribosomal RNA", at positions 28 to 507 of the family's 1533-position model. The record is from RNAcentral.
GACGAACGCUGGCGGCGUGCUUAACACAUGCAAGUCGAACGGAAAGGCCCUGCUUUUGUGGGGUGCUCGAGUGGCGAACGGGUGAGUAACACGUGAGUAACCUGCCCUUGCCUUUGGGAUAACUUCAGGAAACUGGGGCUAAUACCGGAUAGGAGCUCCUGCUGCUGGGUGGGGGUUGGAAAGUUUCGGCGGUUGGGGCUGGACUCGCGGCUUGUCAGCUUGUUGGUGGGGUAGUGGCUUACCAAGGCUUUGACGGGUAGCCGGCCUGAGAGGGUGACCGGCCACAUUGGGACUGAGAUACGGCCCAGACUCCUACGGGAGGCAGCAGUGGGGAAUAGUGCACAAUGGGCGGAAGCCUGAUGCAGCAACGCCGCGUGCGGGAUGACGGCCUUCGGGUUGUAAACCGCUUUCGCCUGGGACGAAGCGUGAGUGACGGUAAUGGGUAAAGAAGCACCGGCUAACUACGUG